UGCGGAAGGAUCAUUAUCGAGAUAGGUAGGGUCUGUUUAGGCUCGACCUCUUCAUCCUUGUAUAUGCUACCGUGUUGCUUUGGCGGGCCUGCUCUCUAGGGCUGCCGAGGGUUUAAUCGCCUCUUGGCCAGUGCCCGCCAGUAGCCUUUUUAAAAUUCUUGAUACCUAUGCUGUCUCAGUGUUUUAACUAAAUUGAUAAAAACUUUCAACAACGGAUCUCUUGGUUCUGGCAUCGAUGAAGAACGCAGCGAAAUGCGAUAAGUAAUGCGAAUUGCAGAAUUCAGUGAGUCAUCGAAUCUUUGAACGCAUAUUGCGCCCUUUGGUAUUCCGAAGGGCAUGCCUGUUCGAGCGUCAUUAUCACCUAUCAAGCUAGGCUUGUUAUUAGACUUUUUGGUUUCACGACCGGUCUGAAAGAUAGUAGACAGGACCUGAUAGCCCUGGAUAUAACAAGCUUUUGAAAGCACAUAUCUGUCGGCCAGCGGGCCCCUGUCUUUAAGCCCCCAUUUUCUCAGGUUGACCUCGGAUCAGGUAGGAAUACCCGCUGAACUUAA
Molecule: ribosomal RNA, 551 nt
Filed under: uncultured Chaetothyriales
Lineage: Eukaryota; Fungi; Ascomycota; Eurotiomycetes; Chaetothyriales
Description: eukaryotic LSU rRNA
Rfam family: 5.8S ribosomal RNA (bases 201-354)
Source: RNAcentral